RNAcentral lists this ribosomal RNA (359 nucleotides) under uncultured bacterium. Its description in RNAcentral is "bacterial SSU rRNA". It matches the Rfam family "Bacterial small subunit ribosomal RNA", at positions 29 to 416 of the family's 1533-position model. The record is from RNAcentral.
AACGAACGCUGGCGGCAGGCCUAACACAUGCAAGUCGAGCGGGGACUUCGGUCCUAGCGGCGGACGGGUGAGUAACGCGUGGGAACGUGCCCUUUGCUUCGGAAUAGCCCCUGGAAACGGGGAGUAAUACCGGAUGUGCUCGAGAGAGGAAAGAUUUUUCGGCAAAGGAUCGGCCCGCGUUGGAUUAGGUAGUUGGUGGGGUAAUGGCCUACCAAGCCGACGAUCCAUAGCUGGUUUGAGAGGAUGAUCAGCCACACUGGGACUGAGACACGGCCCAGACUCCUACGGGAGGCAGCAGUGGGAAUAUUGGACAAUGGGGGCAACCCUGAUCCAGCCAUGCCGCGUGAGUGAAGAAGGCC